CACAGAACCGAAACCGAGAGGAGGAGAAAAAGAAAGGAGAAGAAGAAGAAGUCGCCGCCGUGCAUAAUCCUUUUGUUCCGCCGCCGUCCGUCGCCGACCGCCCUCGCCGUUGUUCCUCGUCGCCGUCUGCCACUUUAGAAAUAGGAAAGGAAGAUGAAGUAUCGGGAAAUAUUGGUUCUGGUUCUAUGUUUGCUUGGGUUUGUUCUUGGAGCGGUGUUUGAUACAGUAGUCGGGGAAAUUGCAAUUAUUACGAACUGAACCAAGUUCCACAACAGGGCUGAUCAUAGUUCCGCCAGUUGAAGAUUCAAAAUCCACGUGUUGGGUGUUCUUGAUAUUGCUUGUAGAAUGAUUGAAGUCAUAUCAAACUCAAAACUAAACAAUUGUGUAGAAAGUCAGACGAUCGUUGAAGGUUUGAGAAGGCGUUUAAGAUUUCUUAUUUAAGUUUUGUAUUAGGAUCUUGUUUCAUGUACCGUUGUAGAAUAUAUAAACAUAAUAUAAGAUUCCAUUUUGUGUAUACAAAUGUAAAAGACAAAUAUUAUAGUUUCUAAAAUAAUAUUAAUUUUAUUGA
This is a long non-coding RNA of Cucumis melo (muskmelon), 568 nucleotides long. RefSeq lists it as uncharacterized. The transcript is spliced from 3 exons. Lineage: Eukaryota; Viridiplantae; Streptophyta; Magnoliopsida; Cucurbitales; Cucurbitaceae. The record is from RefSeq and is a predicted model, not a curated record.